AAUGCUUUUGUAAUAAAACAAACUAAAACAGAAAAAAAUCUGUUCUUAUCAGUUUAAUAUCUGAUACGUCCUCUACCCGAGGACCAUAUAUUAAUCUGAUUUUUGGAACAGGAGACGGAAGAGGGCUUGCUCCAACCUGGCCACGAGAUCGAUCCGGUAUUGCAGCUUAAUUCGAACGGUGCACAUCCC
Molecule: small nuclear RNA, 189 nt
Organism: Alosa alosa (allis shad)
Lineage: Eukaryota; Metazoa; Chordata; Actinopteri; Clupeiformes; Clupeidae
Product: U2 spliceosomal RNA
Exons: 1
Source: RefSeq, a predicted model, not a curated record